This 290-nucleotide unclassified non-coding RNA is filed under the name Hevea brasiliensis (rubber tree). Lineage: Eukaryota; Viridiplantae; Streptophyta; Magnoliopsida; Malpighiales; Euphorbiaceae. The record is from RNAcentral.
UUAAGCUAUUUUACAUGAAAAUGGAUUGAUCUUUGGGUUUGUGCUUGGCUGUUUGGCGGAUCUUAUUUGUUUUAUUUCUCAAAAUUGUAGUGGUUCAGUUGAGAAAAUUGAAAUAGCGAAAGUCAGGGUUUAUUGAUGGCGUGGCCUUUACUAGUACAUCUGGCAUUUUCGGAGAAAAAAUGGGAGUGGGUUUGUGGCGAUAGUUAAUACUCAUAGAUACUAUAUUUCCUCUGUCUUGAAUCGAGAGUGCUUCAAUUGCUGAUCUGGAUAAUGGAUCUGCUAUUGCUAGG